Molecule: non-coding RNA, 171 nt
Filed under: Picocystis salinarum
Lineage: Eukaryota; Viridiplantae; Chlorophyta; Picocystophyceae; Picocystales; Picocystaceae
Source: RNAcentral
UUGCGAGGCAUGCGUAACCUGCAAGGAGGAGAAGGAAGGAAGGACGGACCGCAAGGAUGCACGUACUCCACCUCCGAAAGCAUCACCUGUCGAAGCGUGCCCGACGAAGACGGAAGGUUGAAGCAAAAGUGCGAACGUGUACGCAGGAAAUUCCGACAGUGUCCAGGAAGG